GGAUAUUUCUUUAGGACUAUGGUUUGGACAAGUCACUACUCAGAGCACAAAACAUGCUAAUUAAUUUGUGUGCACUGGAAUGUUCUCUACCUAUCUAUCGUGAGCUAUAUAUCUCUUUGGUUAUGUUCUCAUAACUUCUGUUUUUGCAAGUAAUCUUGACCAGCUUCUAGUCCAAAAUCCUGCAGAGGUUGAUAACACAUUGUAGUGACAGAAGAGUUCAGUUGCCACUUGUCCAAUCCAUAGUUUUAAAGGAAUGAACCC
This 261-nucleotide microRNA precursor is filed under the name Glycine max (soybean). RNAcentral's name for it is "miR5770b stem-loop (gma-MIR5770b)". Lineage: Eukaryota; Viridiplantae; Streptophyta; Magnoliopsida; Fabales; Fabaceae. The record is from miRBase by way of RNAcentral.